This 420-nucleotide ribosomal RNA is filed under the name uncultured bacterium. RNAcentral's name for it is "bacterial SSU rRNA". It matches the Rfam family "Bacterial small subunit ribosomal RNA", at positions 28 to 452 of the family's 1533-position model. The record is from RNAcentral.
GAUGAACGCUGGCGGCGUGCCUAAUACAUGCAAGUCGAACGCUUCACUUCGGUGAAGAGUGGCGAACGGGUGAGUAAUACAUAAGUAACCUGGCAUCUACAGGGGGAUAACUGAUGGAAACGUCAGCUAAGACCGCAUAGGUGUAGAGAUCGCAUGAACUCUAUAUGAAAAGUGCUACGGGACUGGUAGAUGAUGGACUUAUGGCGCAUUAGCUUGUUAGUAGGGUAACGGCCUACCAAGGCGACGAUGCGUAGCCGACCUGAGAGGGUGACCGGCCACACUGGGACUGAGACACGGCCCAGACUCCUACGGGAGGCAGCAGUAGGGAAUUUUCGGCAAUGGGGGAAACCCUGACCGAGCAACGCCGCGUGAAGGAAGAAGUAAUUCGUUAUGUAAACUUCUGUCAUAGAGGAAGAACGG